Leguminivora glycinivorella is the source of this 179-nucleotide long non-coding RNA. RefSeq lists it as uncharacterized. The transcript has 3 exons. NCBI's taxonomy places the organism in Eukaryota, Metazoa, Arthropoda, Insecta, Lepidoptera, Tortricidae. The record is from RefSeq and is a predicted model, not a curated record.
GGCUAUGCCUCAAUUGAUAAAGUGAACUAAUUGCCUACUUCAAAAGCAGUUUUGCAUGAAAGUCAACAUCUAAUUGGAAUUUACAAUGCCCGAUAUUUCUACACAUCUGCCACAAAUUUUAUGGAAAACAAUAUUUAUAGAAACUGAACAUACCUUGGUUAAACGUAUAUGAAAUGGAU